Molecule: long non-coding RNA, 466 nt
Filed under: Ananas comosus (pineapple)
Lineage: Eukaryota; Viridiplantae; Streptophyta; Magnoliopsida; Poales; Bromeliaceae
Description: long non-coding RNA (ACOM_LNC006389)
Source: RNAcentral
UUGGGGUUUUUUUUUUUUUUUUUUUUUUUUUUUUUUUUUUUGGCAUUUGCACCCCACCCCCCUUAAAAAAAUUUCAUAAGUAGUCCUAUCAAUUUUAUAAUUACAAUUUUGAUCCUAUUCCCUCCACACAGGCGCUACAAAAGCACCAUACAAGCUGGUUGUAGAGCGGUGUUAAGUUGAACACAGUGAAUGGUUCACCGUAUUUCAUACUUAUAUUCCCCUUAUAUUCUCCUUUUCAAUAUUUAUAUUGCGUAUUCUCCUUUUCAAUACUUACAUUUUUUCGCAAUACAUAUAUUUUUUCUAAACACUUAGACGCGACGAAUGAAUUACCAUAUUGAAUUUAUUCCAGCACCUCCAUCCUUAUUCGCGUGAUGCUUACAUAGCGCCUGCGUGGCAGGAAUAGAAUCAAAAUUAUAAUUAUAAAUUUGAUAAAAUUAUUUAUAAAAAUAAGUUUUUUUGAAGGGAU